Gallus gallus (chicken) is the source of this 10046-nucleotide long non-coding RNA. RefSeq lists it as uncharacterized. The transcript has 2 exons. NCBI's taxonomy places the organism in Eukaryota, Metazoa, Chordata, Aves, Galliformes, Phasianidae. The record is from RefSeq and is a predicted model, not a curated record.
GCAGUGCCGCCGGACACCGCGGGGCGCUGAGGGGCGGCCGCGUCCCGCCCUCCCCCCUCAGGGCCGGAUCCCCUCGGCGCUACUCACGCUCGAAGUCGGAGUCGGACUCCUCGUCGCCGCGCUCGGGCUCCUCCUCGCCGUUGGACUCGGUCUGCAUGGGCUCCCCGUCGAAGCUGAUCACCCUCCGGCCGUCGCCGGUCGCCUCCUGCUCGCGGGCAUCCCGCAGCCGGGUGAAGUAGUCUGCGGCGAAGCCCACCAGGUCGGCCGGCCGGUGCCGCAGCACCUCCACCGUGUAGCCCUGCAGCAGUUCGGUGAGGCCCGGCGGAAUCUCGAUGCUCAUGGUGCCGGCGGGACCGAGGAGGAGGCCGCCGCCGCCUCCUCUCCUCCUCCCCGCCCCGCGGGCGGCUGUAACGGUGGCGGGCUCGGGCCUCCCUCCGCAGGCGCUGACUGACUCCCACCGCUCCGCUCGCGCGAGCCGCGCCGAGGGAGGUGAGGGGGGGAGGACGGGACGGGAGCUGCCUGACUGCGCAGGCGCGGGAGCGGGCGCGGAGCCAACCGCCGCGCACGCGCCGAGCGGGAAGGCGCGUGCGUCACCCUGAGGCGAGGCCGGAGCGGGCACGAGGGCGCGCGGGGAUAGCAGUGCGCAUGCGCGGCGGGCUCUGAGGGAGAGGCGGGAGGUUCCCGCCCGGUCCCGUUCCGUGUGCCCGGUGAGGCGGCCCAGCCUGGGGCCGCCGGUCCGUGCAUCAGCUGCCGCGGUGGUACUGAUACCGAGAGAUGUUUGUCCAGAUGUUCUACCUCAUGGGAAAACUGAUCUGGUCCUGUUCCCCAGCAAAAAGGGCUGAAAAGCUAAACAGCAGCCUGGAGCGUGGAGGUUCGAAGUGUUUUUGAGUGACGCUUGCAAAUCUGACUUUUAAACUACCUUUAGAACAAAAUGACUCCUUUUGUGUGGUAAAAGAGUAAGCAUAAACUGUGGAACUGUGGAAACUCCUGCUUCUCAUCACCCAGGAUGCUGAGUACAUAGCAGCGUAUAGCAGAAGGGCAGGCAGUCACCGCUUCUUUCAGAAGGUUCCCCUGCUUAUCUGGAUGGUUUUACCACAAACCCAUGCAAAGAUUUUCUCUUCAUCACUGUUGCACAAAGGGCACAACUGAGGAUCCAAGACCACCACCACUCAGUGCUUCUUCUGACUCGAUUUUCAGUGAGGAAGGUCAAUUGGAGAUCUUAUGGCUCUUAUUACAGCACCCAGCCUCUGUUAAAAGGUUUUCUUUGUGAUAUGUCUUCUGUGUUUUUCUGCCAGAAAGAUUACCUCAUGUAUCCGUAUAAAAUGAAUGAAUUAAAAACAAGCACAGGAGGUGGAUUUAUCACACUGGUUUAUCUGAAGGUUUAGUGUGAAGCUGCUUCUCCUAAAAUCUAUUGUGGUUUUUUUACAGCAGCCACAGCAGUUAUGUCCCUUUUCAAGAAAAACAAUUAAUUCUUUUUUUCCAUUUGUCACUGCUACCAUAUUAUUUCUCUGACGGUCUCAAACAAUACAGCAGCACAUUUCAUCUGCUCAGAGUAUAGGAAAUUUUAAAAAUACUGUAAAAAAAUGAAUGAAUGCUGUAAGAAAUAAAAAAACAUUGGCGAGUGAGGAAGAAAGAAUGUGUAAUUCUAAGGGAAUACAAUUAUUUUUCCUUCCCACACUCUUGCACAAAAGGCAUCACAUGACAGUUCCCUGCUUUUGGCAUUAGUCAGCUGCUGUAUUAGCUUCUAACAUUUGUUGAUAAUUUUCUCUCAUUUGUGCCUGUGUAUAUAAAUCUGGUUAUUUACAUGAAAAAAUGUGCUGCCAGUAAAUAUUGUUAUGUCCCUGAAGAGCUACAUUGUGUUAGCCUUCUGAUAUUUAUACGUCCACAUACAACUAAUCAGCUUCAGUGGAACGUAAACAGUAGAUGUCUGUUAGCCUCCUUCUGAAGGUCAGUGGACAAAAUAAAAAGCAUCAAGGUCACCUGAAGCAGUUUCAAGCUGUUUUAUGCCAUAGUUUAUCCUAUUUCUCUAUAUACUUUUUUUUUUUCUUUUGGUGAGGAUCUGAACUGAUGGCACUUACAGGCAAGAGAUUUGUUUGUGAACAAGUUAAUUGUGAUGCUGCCUGCUGUGCAUACAUAUAGUUCAUAUUAAGCUUUCUUUCACCCUAAAUUUGCAUUCCUUGUUUUAAUCAUUACUGUAAUAAGCAUCUGCAUAAAAAGAAUGCUAGAAAAGAAAUUAGGAAAUGUACUUGCAAUCAUAGUAUGAUCCUCUUUAUAAUAACAUCUUUAAUUCGUGUAGCAUGACCAAUGCAAUUCCUGUCCACUGGCCUUGUAGUUUAUUCAGCUCUUAGUAUGCAAUGAGAAAGAAUUCUGUAAUUAAUGAAGCUGAUCCCCACAGUAUUCCUACCAAAAAUAUAUGUGUAUAUUUAGAAUCAUAUUUAAUACUGCUACUUUGUUGGUAUCUGAGAACUAGCCAACUUGGGAUAUUCUGAUUCUGUGAUUCUAUCCCUAUAUUUAUACUGUAUCAAUGCUGCUAAAUUUCGAGGUCUCUUCCUUUCAAUUACCUGUCCUACCUGGUCUUACGUGGCUUUGAUGCAUGCAGGGGUACCGUGGUGGAGCUUCAGUGCUUGUCAUUACCGACAGGAGCAGCGAAGUUGAGAGUGUAAAAACAAAGUCUCUGUAAUUCUGCACUGGGGAAAUGAUCAAAUUAACCCCCCAGACUGGCUCUCGAAAAGUAAAAUAAAUCCCUUUAUGACAAGUAAUAAUUUACUCCUCUCAAACCUUUCACCACUAAGCAGAACUCAGACACUACAUAAACAUAUGUACAUCUUGGAUUAAUUAUACAUGCCUUCAAAUUCCCCUACAAGUAAUUCAGCACAAGGAUAAUGCAAGAACACACUAAAUAUUCUGAUGGUUGACAUUAGAAAAUGUAACCUCUUGUUCAAGGGAAGCUGGAUUUAUUACCAUGAGUGUAGCUUUUGCAUGUUGUAGGUGACACACUAGGAAAUUCUUUCAGACUGGGUAUGUGCCAAAGCAGUCCUGAGCAAAAGCUGUAUUAGGGCCUUAUAUAAAGUGAAGUCCUGUCCUUAGCCUGCUGAACUGUGGAGUUCAUUGUCAUGGGAUGCUUUUGACAGAAAAAGUGAUGGGGAAUAGGGCCAGCACUGGCUUUGAAAUUCAGUGGUUAGUUUGAUUUCCAGUUAUUUGUUAGUUUUAGGUGGAAGGAAGGAUCAUCUAUAGUUAUCCAUCUGCCAGACCAGUCAUCUCUGACUAACCGUUAUUGGGACUGGUUGUUAGGUCUGCAGUACCUUUGGUCUGACCCACUUCAAGCUCCAUGAAUUACUCUAGUCAGAAUUCAGAGCAUCUAAAUACCGUAGGUGCCAUUUUCGUGCUUUGUCCUAUACCACUGCUAUUCGUAAGCAAGUCCUAGAAGAACUUACUAGCUGGUACGUAUAUAAUCAUCUCUCUUUAAUAAGUUUUAAAUCACUCUUCCCAAUUACCAAAUGCCUGUGAGUACAAGUGUUGCAAGAUUUCCUGAGUAAUGCUUCUCUGUCUGUUUUAUUGGCUACUUUGUGAUUUUGUAAACCUUGAGCUCAUCUUUCUUCAGUCUUCUCCAAAUUAAGGCAUCAAAGUCCUGCUGGUCUCUCCUCCAAAAUCAGCCUGCUUCAUCCCCGUGAUCACAUUAAAUACCUUUUCUCUGUAUCUGCUCAAAUUUUACUGUCCUUUUCAUGCUCACACUCUGGUCUUCACAUCUCAAAAUCUGGACUCACAAAUGCUUUUCAUAGCAGAAAAAUGGUGCCUUUUUAUCCUCUCUAAUACAUUUCAUUGUUUUUAUUGUUUGGGGUGUUUUUUUUUCUGGGGGGGGGGGGCGGCUGCUACAUCAUAAUAUAUUGAAGGUACCCCUAAUUUUAGGCAUAAAAAAAUAAAAUUCCCUCUUAUUCAGUAUGUUUCUCAAGUGGUUUAUCAUCAUAUUAAAAAAAAAUGUACAUGUAGUUUUGCAUUUAAAAUUUUAUAUGUUUAAUAUUCAAACUGUGGUUGGUUGUUGUUUUUUUUUUAAGUGCUCUACCUACUGCUUUCUCCUGUCACUGUCAAUGAGUGUAUACGUUAUUUGUGCAUAAUGUACACAAUGCUUCUGAGCUGUCAUUUUAGCACAGGAUCUAAUGCUAACAGAAGAGCAAUCCUGGACUUAGCUACCAGGAUGCAGAGAUCCUUCAAAACAAUGCACAAGAAAAACCAGCUUCUCCUGCAUGUUUGGUUUUGUUCUUAGGAAAGUACUAAACCUAAGAAAGCAGAGCUUUGGUUCUCUUAAUGAGCCAGCUUGCUUCAAGAUUCAAUAUACAUUUUUUCUUGUUGGCUUCUAAAGUGAGUAGAAUGAGUACUGUGUAGUCGAAUAAAUGAGACAAAACUGUCUAUCACUGGAACCAAGGCAGGAGAAAAGAAAAAAAAAAAUCAGCCUUUGGAAUAAGUGUAUAUAAAUAUUUGUUUCAGCUAAAAUAUAUUACUUUGCUACUAACUUUAAUCAAACAAACAUGUUUUGGAUCAUUCUUGGGGAGAUGUUUUGCUGCGUUCAUUGAUAGCUCUCAAAGGGCCAAGGUAGGAGAAGCAUCUGUCUAAGUUUGCAGAUUUUCAUUGACAUAACUUGGUUUCUGUGCACUGGUAACAUUGAUUCUGGUGGUAACAAUUACAUUUUUUUCACGUAGUAGAAAAAAAAUAGUUUCAAAAUACCUGAUUUUGUAAAACAUUUGGCCCUGACAUUACCUUAAUGUAGAAAGAAACGUCUCUGAAUGUUGAUUAUGUCAUCCAUAAGACUUAAAAUGCCAGAUGUAUGAAUCUAGAUAAAAGUACUCUCUGUGACAUAAGACGUGAGCCAACCAUGUUGUAGCAGUUGUGAAAUUGGUGAUUUCCAUAUCAGGAGCUGUAAGCAACUGUACUCCGAUCUGUAAACAGCAAACAUGGAAAUAAGAACGUAGCUAAUCAUUUGGGUCUCCUGAAUGCAAAGAGAAAACUGUACCCACUUUGGUUGUACUUUAGUUCCUGUUCCUAGCAAUGAAAACAUUACAUGCAGAACUCUCCAGUGAAGUUGGUAUAAAUUCUGUGCAGAGGGAGAUAGUGGAAAUAGCAGUCAGUCACAAGGUAGCCCUAACCCUGCUUCAAUGAUUAUGCAGUGUUAGCAUACACAGACAUUGCUACUGAAUAGAAGUAGAACAUUUGUAGAUUGUUUUAGGAGAAGACAGCUGAUCAACUGGCCUGUAUUUUGUUCCAAAACUGAAUCUUGUCAGCAAACCUGACUCUAGCAGUUUUGUUGGGAUUCAGGACUGUGUCCCUACAAAAGAGCUCUACAAUUGGUUUCAUCCUUGAGCCUUUGCUUACCAACCUGGAAUUGUCUUUUUACCCAUACUUGUCCCAUCCUUCGGCUUCUCACAUUUCUACCUUGCACAGUUCAUAUUACCAGCAUUUCCAUGAUGCAAUCCAGGUAUGCCAUACCUGGCAGCAGAGUACUUCAGACAGCUUUCUGUCUGUGGCUGUUUUCAUAUCAUCCAUUGUCACUUUUGUCCAGUGAAUGUGAUUAACCAUUUCUCUGCUACACAGAUACCUUUGCAUUUUCACAUUUAUCAUCUUCCUACACUACUUUCUUGCUAAUUGCCAUUCCUAAAACUUCAUCUGCCAGGUAGACUCCAAAUGCAUAGUCUAUCCCUUGCCCCUUCUGCUUAGCUGCUCUUAGUGGCAGGUUGAGCCUUGGGUAUCUUUCCCCCUUCCUUCAGCACGUGAUCCCUUCUCCAGUUAGGAGUCACAAUGCCUCUGCUCUUUGGCCUCAUUUCAUGUUGUCUGUAAGAGGAAAGCAAUUAACAAAUUUCACUGUUUCUCCUGUUUUGUGCCCACAGAUCUGCACCAUGCAUACAAUUGCAGUACAUGAAGAUGUUAUAGUAUUAUGUUGCACAGUAUGUGUAGGGUGCAUUUUAUCAGUCCUUCCAGCUCAGUACAGCAUAUUGACUAAUUCCAUGCAUUAAAAUUGCUGUAUUAAAUGCAAGUUACAACAGUAAUAAAUGAGGCUUUAUCCACCAGAUCCCCAGCAUUUUAUAUUUUACUCUGAAAAUCCUUUUACAAGCCCUAUUACACGUUAGCACUUAUUUUAAUUAAACUCAUAGCACAGCAUGCAGGUUAGUUAACCAGUGCUCCAGAGCUCCAUUCAGUUUUAGAGUAAAUUAGGAAGCACUUCCAAUUGCGUUUAUCUGUCGUUCUUCACACACUGUGCUUGAGCAUACAUUAUAAAAAUGGUAAUAGAGGAUUAUACGUCUCCAGGGAAAAUAAUGGGAAUCGCAUUCUCUCAAACAUCUCUCUUCUAGGCUGUUUUUUUUUUUUUCUCCAAUUUAGUUUAGAUUCUUGAGUUUUAAAAAUGUAUUUGAUGUUUAACUGCACUUUCGUUGUCUGCAUUAAAGGAGCAGGUGACCUCAGCUUCCAAGCCAGAGGACUAUAAAGCUGCCUCACUAUGUUAAACCCCUUAUUGUGAAUCUCAGCAAAAAAACUGAUUGGUUUAUAGGGCUGAAAAUGCUUGCUGCUUCAAUGAUUGGAGCCAGAUCCUGCCUGUAGCAGAAGCUAAUUUGACGGGUGUUGCUUGUAGAAUGCCUCUCCUGCAUCUUUUUCUAAUUUUCAUUCCCACGGCUUUCAGCCCCAAAGUGUUGUAUUUGAAAAAGAUGAAAAGAAGAAUUUGGUUUUAGGGAAUGCAGUGACACAGUCCUUUGUUAAAUCUGGUUUGACGUGUCUCUGCAUUGACAUCUAGCGUCCAUGCAGAAAGAUCUUUAGAUUACUCACAGCCAUAUUGGCAAUAUUUAUCUCUAAACUUGUAAAGAUUUCUCCAUGUGUAGCUAUUAAGACUAUUAACAAUACCAGGUCAACCAGGAGGUGCUACCAAUGGGGAAAACACAAGAAUCCUCCUACAGUUAACGUUUUGUGUUAUGCAGUGACAUCCAUAUAUUUUUGUGUUCCACAUUUCUCCAGAAACCCAUAGAAAUACGACCCUUUUUAAAGUUAUCCUGUGGACACCUGCAAAAUAUUGUUAGUCUGUUAUCUUCUCUUAGAGCAUACAGCAAUUGUGAACCAGUAUUCAAUACAGGUUUCAUGAAGUAUUGUAGUUCUGUAAUUAGAUAUUACUCUUUCAUUAAGCAAGAGUUUUUUUCAAGGAUGGAAGGCUCUGUUAAGCCCUCUCUUCAUUAAACUCCAUCAUAUCCUUAAAAGCUGUUUAACAAAGAGCUCUUCUUAUCUACUGUUACCUUUGCAAUAACAACUUAUUUUGCUAUUUAUCCAGAACGUGGUAAAAAUUCAAAGCUGCUACAAAAGAAUUUGCUGUUUUGCUUAUGCAAAAUGUUGAAUGGUGGCAGCAAGCAAUUAGUUGUGCUGUUGCUAUACACUUUGCCUCAAAAGCAACUCCACCUUCAUAAUAUUUCCUACUCUUCAGUCAGCAUCAGGUGCUUACACUGGGAUAGCACACACAAGCAUUACACUAGAAUCCUAGAGCCACCAUGUCAGAUCCUAGACCAAUAUGGAAAAGCCAUUCCCUAUUCUGGAAACUCCCUGUAGGUUCAUAUUUUAAGUAUUUCCAUUGUCAGGAUCCAUUUUCAAAGAAAGUUAUUUGAAUUAUAUUACUUCACAAAAUCUUAAAAAGUAACAUUUGAUACAUUAUCUCUUCAAUCAUGAGAAAAAAAUCCAUCCUAUUAAGAACUUGCUAUCAAAAUUUGUAACAUGCAGGUAUAGGCAUUAGCUGCAGAUUUAUUUGGCAGACUUGUAAGGAGGAUCAUUGACUUUUACUUUCAAGGCACCAGAGGACUAAAAUCUGCAAGAGCCUUGGACUUGCACUGCCAUUUUAUAAUGAUAUCAGAUUGAGUUGGUAGCUAGGAUUUCUUAUACGUAUCUAUGUUAUGUUGAUCUUGUAAGUGAUAAAGUUGCAACACCAUCUUUCUCACCCCAAGACUGGCUUACAAUACAGUUACAAAUCUUACCCUCUGAGCAGGGAAAUGCUUUCCAUUUCUCAGCAGCAAGCCCUCUAGCAGCUUGAGUGCCCUGACAAGCUGUGAUAGGAAGGUCUUCCCGUCUUUUAACCAACAGAACUUAGUGGUUAAUUUGUCUUUAUUGACAGUCUGAAGUAUAGCAGGUGACAGCCAUUAACACUGCUUCCAAAUCAUUAAGAGUAGAGCGGCAGCCUUAUUAGAGCCAGCUGGAUUUGGAAAGAAAUGAUCUAUCAAGGAAAGUGAUCUGGAAAUUUCAGUUAACUAAAAAAGAAGAAACCUCUUUCUGUAGUGUUGCAGCUUCAGGAAAAAAAGUAGGACAAGUCCAAGGUGUGCAGUGGGUACAGCUCCUGGCCAAGACUGACUGGGUGGCUCUAAGGGACUUGUGGGCUCUAUUAUUUCAUGGCUGUUUUUGUGUUUAGCCCUCUGGCCAGCCUUGUCGUGGUAUCUCUUAAGCUCUAGAAGAGCUCCCUCUUGGUUUGGUGAUACCUGGCACAACAGGAAAUUUCUGAUGUACAAAUAAUGAAGUUUGCCUUGCAGAGAUGGAAACUUUUGAUGAAAUAGAGCUAGAACAGCCUUUAACCUUUUCUGUGAAGGUCAGAGGAGGGUGAUAAAAUAUUUCCCACACUUUCUGGAAAAGUACUUUUUAUCAGUUUCUGGGGAUCUGUGUCAAAUAUUUACUCUCUUCUUCCUUUCAGUGUUAUAUUAACUUAAUUACUUGUUACAUUAGCUCAACAAUCAGUGAAUCUGUACUAAAAUUACCCGCCGAAUCAAUAGGUCCAGAAGAAGACUGACAGCAUCAUUAAAAUGUAUCCUGCUUAGAGUAUUCAUAAUUUACCUAUAUGUGAUCAUGAGCAGUAAAGGAAUGUGGUAAUGAUUUCAUUCAGAGCUGUCAGGGUACUGACAAAGUCUUUAAUCUGAAAGUGCUUUAUAAUGAGAAUUACAAAUACGCAUUUGUAUCUAUCCUUGUUAUGAUCCAUCAGCCAACUUCCCAGCCCUGGCACUCAGUGCUUCCAGCAAGGCCAAAUUCUGGCUCUGUGCUGUCUGUGGAAGACAGCAGUGGAUGCAGCUGGAAGCAUCACGUUGCUGCAGCAACGCAUCACCCCCCCAGGGACCACGUUGCCUCGGCGACACCAGGUGGGCAGAUGCUGCUAGAUCAAAUUGUCUCAAGGCGGCUACCCCCAAAAAUUGGGCAGCCUUGGCCUUUAGGGGAGAAGGGUCAGUGAGCAGGAGUGGGUGGCCCCUCUGUGGGACUGUUCACAGCCUGAUUUUGAAUGAGGAGGGUGACCGGUGUGCAUUUCCUUGCAGAUGGUGAGACAGGGCUACUGCCAAAAGGAGCUUACUGUUUAAUGUGUUAAGAUAAGACAGCGGGAAGGACAAUGUCAGCAGGAGGGGAUUAGCUGAAGGGAGCAAGUGCUGAGGCCAUCGUUCUUGGUUUAUAUAAUCAGGACCUGCAAAUGUAUUGCAACAUCAGAAAUAAUUGGAGAGCAAUGUCUCUUGUUACACUAUGCAUCUAUGAACGGAGGUAAUCAUGUACAUUCAUUAUAGAAUAGUCUAGUAUUGCAUUACGGUGGAUAAACAUGGCAAAGUGUCUUGUAGGCAGAGGAUUAAGUAUCAAUUUACAAAGGCAAAUACCUCUGUUAAGAUUGUUAGACAUAAAACCUCCCACCCAGGUGACUGUAGGCAGUCCAGCAGUCCAACCCAACUGGUAGGAAAAUGAUGACAGGUUUCCAAGAACCCAGAGGUCCUUUAUCACAACUGUGAUCAGCACCAGAAUUCAUUCUGUUGGAUUUCACUGCAGCCACCUGUGUAACUGCUAAUAACAGAAAAGGGUUCAAAGUCUGAUGCGUAGACAUCAGUUAUCCAUGGCAUUUGAAGAGCAAUUUGAAAAACAAGAUGGUAAAGGACAGAAGAAUUUGCACAGAACGACAGGUAAUUUCCUUAUCACUUAUGUUUUCUUGUAGGAAUCUUUUCUCCCUUCACAUUGUUGGAUUGAGAAGCCUCUUGCCUACUGUAAUUAGCUCUUGAAUAAACAGCAUAUUUUGAACACAA